GCCGGCGUAGCUCAGCGGUCAGAGCGUGCGGCUCAUAACCGCAAGGUCCUGGGUUCGAUCCCCAGCGCCGGCACCA
Molecule: transfer RNA, 76 nt
Filed under: Armatimonadota bacterium
Lineage: Bacteria; Bacillati; Armatimonadota
Description: tRNA-Met
Rfam family: tRNA
About the family: Transfer RNA (tRNA) molecules are approximately 80 nucleotides in length. Their secondary structure includes four short double-helical elements and three loops (D, anti-codon, and T loops).
Source: RNAcentral